GAGAAAAUUGAGAAUUGUGGCUGCAUCAAGUCUUACUUCUUGUGAGAAAAGAAUCUAAUAGUCCGUCCUAACAUUAAUUUUGCUCCCCUUAAAUAACUAUCGAAAGAAAUGUAGACAACUAGAUUUUUUGGUUGUCCCAUGGAGUGAAACAAGUGUCGUACCACGUUUAAAUAAAUUACCCCCUUCGUCCAAUUUAUGUGAUGCACU
This 207-nucleotide long non-coding RNA is filed under the name Nicotiana benthamiana. RNAcentral's name for it is "long non-coding RNA (NBEN_LNC016740)". Lineage: Eukaryota; Viridiplantae; Streptophyta; Magnoliopsida; Solanales; Solanaceae. The record is from RNAcentral.